GGCGCGAACCCUCCUCAAUGACCUAACGUGUGAAGGGUUACCUCGAGUGCUACCUGAAGAAGGUGGCUUUUCCUUGGUCUAAAAAGCCUUGGGAAUAAGAGGGGGGCAAGACUGGUGUCAGCCGCCGCGGUAACACCAGCCCCUCGAGUGGUGGGGAUGAUUAUUGGCCUAGAGCGUCCGUAGCCUGUUAAGUAAGUUUUCCGUCAAAUCCAAUGUCUCAAGCUUUGGUCUGCGGGAAAUACUGUUUAACUAGAGAGUGGGAGAGGUCAGCGGUAUUCUGGGGGUAGGGGCGAAAUCCUUUGAUCCCCGGAGGACCACCAGUGGCGAAGGCUGCUGACUAGCACACGUCUGACGGUCAGGGACGAAAGCUGGGGUAGCGAACCGGAUUAGAUACCCGGGUAGCCCCAGCUGUAAACGAUGCAUGCUAGGUGUUGGGUUGGCCACGAGCCACCCCGGUGCCGCAGGGAAGCCGUUAAGCAUGCCGCCUGGGAAGUACGAUCGCAAGAUUGAAACUUAAAGGAAUUGGCGGGGGAGCACCACCAGGCGUGAAGCCUGCGGUUUAAUUGGAGUCAACGCCGGGAAUCUUACCGGAAGCGACAGCAGAGUGAAGGCCAGAUUGAAGAUCUUGCCAGACGAGCUGAGAGGAGGUGCAUGGCCGUCGCCAGUUCGUGCCGUGAGGUGUUCUCUUAAGUGAGAUAACGAACGAGACCCGUGCCACAUGUUGCCAUCAGAAUCUAAAGGAUUGCUGGGCACUCUUGUGGGACCGCAGCCGAUAAGGCUGAGGAAGGAGCGGGCAACGGCAGGUCAGUAUGCCCCGAAUCUUCCGGGCCACACGCGGGCUGCAAUGGUAUGGACAGAGGGCUGCAACCCCGAAAGGGGAAGCCAAUCCCUAAACCAUACCUCAGUUGGGAU
Molecule: ribosomal RNA, 912 nt
Filed under: uncultured crenarchaeote
Lineage: Archaea; Thermoproteati; Thermoproteota
Description: bacterial SSU rRNA
Rfam family: Archaeal small subunit ribosomal RNA
Source: RNAcentral